RNAcentral lists this transfer RNA (76 nucleotides) under Hominimerdicola alba SY3. RNAcentral's name for it is "Ruminococcus albus SY3 tRNA-Asn". It matches the Rfam family "tRNA". From Rfam's summary of the family: Transfer RNA (tRNA) molecules are approximately 80 nucleotides in length. Their secondary structure includes four short double-helical elements and three loops (D, anti-codon, and T loops). The record is from RNAcentral. Lineage: Bacteria; Bacillati; Bacillota; Clostridia; Eubacteriales; Oscillospiraceae.
GUUUCUGUAGCUCAACUGGAAGAGCGCCACACUGUUAAUGUGGAUGAUAAGUGUUCGACUCACUUCGGAAACGCUA